RNAcentral lists this transfer RNA (74 nucleotides) under Alphaproteobacteria bacterium. RNAcentral describes it as "tRNA-Cys". It matches the Rfam family "tRNA". Rfam says of the family: Transfer RNA (tRNA) molecules are approximately 80 nucleotides in length. Their secondary structure includes four short double-helical elements and three loops (D, anti-codon, and T loops). Further hydrogen bonds mediate the characteristic L-shaped molecular structure. tRNAs have two regions of fundamental functional importance: the anti-codon, which is responsible for specific mRNA codon recognition, and the 3' end, to which the tRNAs corresponding amino acid is attached (by aminoacyl-tRNA synthetases). tRNAs cope with the degeneracy of the genetic code in two manners: having more than one tRNA (with a specific anti-codon) for a particular amino acid; and 'wobble' base-pairing, i.e. permitting non-standard base-pairing at the 3rd anti-codon position. The record is from RNAcentral. Lineage: Bacteria; Pseudomonadati; Pseudomonadota; Alphaproteobacteria.
GGCUGGGUGGCAGAGUGGUUAUGCAGAGGACUGCAAAUCCUUAUACGUCGGUUCGAUUCCGGUUCCAGCCUCCA